Molecule: long non-coding RNA, 548 nt
Organism: Pseudopipra pipra
Lineage: Eukaryota; Metazoa; Chordata; Aves; Passeriformes; Pipridae
Exons: 2
Source: RefSeq, a predicted model, not a curated record
CGGGCACCCCCGAGGCCACCGCACCCGCUCCCGGGGAGAACAUCGCCCGCCUCCCCCUUCGCCGCGGCCCCGGGAGGUUCCCGCCCGCAGGGCCCCCCGGGAACGAGGGCUCUGGGGCCCGCCGGGGCUCCGGCCACGGGCCCGCUCCGGCCGCGGGGAGCCGGGGCCCUGCCGGGGCAGGGAAGAACGGGGGCAGCCGUUCCCUCGUUCCUCCCACGCUCCGGGCCCCCGAGCAGAGCUGCCCGUCUGUCCCCGUGUCCCUUUGUCUGUCCUCAGGCGGCCCCAGGAGCUGGCACUGACCGUGCCGCGGCUCGGGCACAGGCUGCUCCCAGCUCUGCCUGCGGAACUUCGGCAAUUACCCACAGCAGUUCUUUGCCCCGCCAUCCAUAAGGUGCAGCUCAGCUGACACCUGCCAGACGGGGAAGGCCCUGCCUGGGAGGGAAACGGCUACAGGGGAGGAAACCAAGAAAUGCUCCAACCGGACGGUGCUGCGCGAGUCAAAAGAGGGGCAAGACCGCAGAGAAAUACAGUCAGGAAAUGCGCUUUUA